AUUCAACUGAUGAGUCCAAAACAGAGCAAAACGCGCGUACUGGAU
Schistosoma mattheei is the source of this 45-nucleotide non-coding RNA. The record is from Rfam. NCBI's taxonomy places the organism in Eukaryota, Metazoa, Platyhelminthes, Trematoda, Strigeidida, Schistosomatidae.